AUGAAACGACAGCAAAAGAGAAAGCAUGUUGGAAGUGAGGAUUCUGAAGAAACUGAUGAGAAAGGAAGAGGAGCCUCGAGGUCACCAGAUGAUGCUUCUCAGCCAAGGUCACCUGGAGCAUCCAGAACCCAGAGCCCAGGGACAGGGGAGACAUCCUCUGCUUCUGAAUACUUCUCAUGUGUUUCUUCUCCCUCCAAGCUCCCUCGACUCACCUGUGGCAGUAAGAAUAAGGGUCCCGUGGUGUGAGACUGAAUAUUUUUGGGUAUGAGCCUCCUCAGAACUGAGGAUCCUUGUAUACAAGGCAAAGAGAUUCAAGGCUGAGGGUGAGGAAUCCCAGGGCAGCUAGAGGAGGUUGGUGUACUAUGGAGCAGCCCAGGUAGGGUUUGUCGCUCAGGGAACAUGGAUGGGGGCUCGGGGUCCCUGGAAUGACUACAGUGUGGGGAACAGGAACCAGUGCCCAGAAAGGUCUGUCUUUGAAAUGUCAAACUAAGGGACCAGACAAAGUAACUUUUAGAAACUAUGUGAAUUCUGGACUUCCUGAGGACAGAGUUCUUUAGCAGGGCCUUCCAACAUACAGCUGUUACAAGAGCAUUCCAACACUACCCAGCUCAGACCCACGUAUUCACACUUACAGCCGCACACCACACAGAUACACACAUUCUCAAUGCACACGCUGACCCACAACACAAGACGCACAAUGCCAUUCUCAUGCACCAUGUUUCACAUUCCACAAACAACAUGCUGUUCAGGUCACACAAUCCCAUCCACAUAGCACAGGCUUUACCUCUUCCCUGAUUUAUGUGUGGGAUUGCAUAGUAUGUAACUGUUUUGUACUGUCUUCUUUUAGCAGCCUAUUGCACUGAAGAUUCAUUGAUUCCUGAGU
This 883-nucleotide long non-coding RNA is filed under the name Fukomys damarensis (Damara mole-rat). Its description in RNAcentral is "lncRNA (ENSFDAG00000029327.1)". Lineage: Eukaryota; Metazoa; Chordata; Mammalia; Rodentia; Bathyergidae. The record is from RNAcentral.